CAGGAGCAGAGAAACUGAGUUCAUGCAAAAAUGAGAGCACACAGCAGAACUGGUUAUAGUAGCAUGCUGAAAUAAAGAUUGUCAAGCCUCGUCUCACCCCAGAUCACAUCCGAGUGAGCUGACCCUUACAGCAGAAACAAACCGGGUACGUGACAGGAGGUGAAGCUCGCGUUGUAAGCGAUGUCCCUGGAGAUUGUGCACCACCGGGGAGAGGGCCGAGUCCGGCACGUGGAGCUCCCUCAAGCAAAGUGAGCAUCAGCACGGGCAGUUUGCUGCGGAGAGCUGCAUGGAAUCUGAGCAGCGAUGGAACUCAGGACAUCACUCGACCUUUCGGGCCGUCAACUGCAGCAGAAAUGUAAGCAACUGAAAAUAAAGGAUGG
Molecule: long non-coding RNA, 380 nt
Filed under: Gallus gallus (chicken)
Lineage: Eukaryota; Metazoa; Chordata; Aves; Galliformes; Phasianidae
Description: long non-coding RNA NONGGAT005669
Source: RNAcentral